This 397-nucleotide ribosomal RNA is filed under the name uncultured bacterium. RNAcentral's name for it is "partial 16S ribosomal RNA". It matches the Rfam family "Bacterial small subunit ribosomal RNA", at positions 523 to 918 of the family's 1533-position model. The record is from RNAcentral.
AUACGUAGGUGGCGAGCGUUGUCCGGAAUUACUGGGCGUAAAGGAUGCGUAGGUGGAUAUUUAAGUGGGAUGUGAAAUCCCCGGGCUCAACCCGGGAACUGCAUUCCAAACUGGGUAUCUAGAGUGCAGGAGAGGAACGCGGAAUUCCUAGUGUAGCGGUGAAAUGCGUAGAUAUUAGGAGGAACACCAGUGGCGAAGGCGGCUUUCUGGACUGUAACUGACACUGAGGCAUGAAAGCGUGGGUAGCAAACAGGAUUAGAUACCCUGGUAGUCCACGCCGUAAACGAUGGGUACUAGGUGUAGGAGGUAUCGACCCCUUCUGUGCCGUCGUUAACACAAUAAGUACCCCGCCUGGGGAGUACGGUCGCAAGACUAAAACUCAAAUGAAUUGACGGGG